AUUGUGACAUAUAUCUAGGCAAAUUGCCUAGAAGUGAAUCCCCUCUCCUGCUUAAGUCCUUCCCACAGAGAGCGGUUUGAUAUGUCACUGAAACCAGCAUCCAGGUGGUAUUGCUCCAUAUGCCUGAGACCCUAACAAAAGCCUAAUUACAACUCAUAUGCCUGGAGCCAGGACAUGUGCAGGAUGCCAUGAUGGUCCAAGUUAUAUUGGGAUUCAGCCAAUAGAAGAUAUUUUGCCUGUCAUCCCUAAGCUUAGGACAAUAGGAACAUUGUGACAUUGCUGGACGUAGCAUCUAGGAAAUGUACUCUCCUCUCCUGCCUAGGCCCUGCCCACUAAAGGAAUUGUGACAUACCACUGAGUGCAAAACCUAGGGUCCUGCCCACAAGAAAGAUUGUGACAUCUCACUGGACAAGCACCCACCCAGACUCUGCCAAGAGAGGGGAUUAUUACAUAUUGCAGAGCCCAGCACCUAGGUGGAGUGACUCUCAUCUUUUUCUUCUACCCCGUAUAUAGCCAGCUUGGUGACCUACUAUUUGAGUCUAUACCCAGGCCCAGACCACAGAUGAAAUUGUGCAAUAUGUGGAACAAACACCUAAACAAUAUAUAACACCUUCCUUGGCUCUGUCUACAAAGGGCACUUUUAUAUAUCACUGGGACCAUCAACCAGGUGAUGUUGUGCCAUAUAACUGAGACCGUAUCAAAAGCCUAAUAACAAGACGUAUGUCUGGAGCCCCGAUAUGCACAGGAUGGUGAUAUAACCCUCUUCUCUGGAAUGGGCCCCACACAAAGGAAGGAUAGUGACAUAUUGCAAGCCCAGGCACACAGGCCCAGAGCACAGUUGAAAUUGUGACAUAUGUACACCAAGCAACCAAGCAAUGUAUAACACCUCAUUUGGCAAUGGAAUCGAGGGCACUUUUACAUAUCACUGAGACCAGCGCCCAGCUGAUGUGAAAUAUUGGCCUGAACCCUGCCUACAAAAGCAUUGUGGCUUUUAUCUAGCUCCAUUACAUAAGUGAUGUGACUUCCUUCUACUGCCUUGGCCCUGCACUUAUGGUGAAUCGUGACACAAAAUUGGGUAGAGCAACCAGCCUGGGCCCUGACCAGCACAGAGAUUGAGGCAUAUUGCUGAACCCAGGACCAAGAUGAAGUCACUCUCCUGCCUUGAUCCUGCACACAGGGACCCUUGUGACAUAUAUACAGGCCAAUUGCCUAGGUGAUGUUGUGCAAUAUACCUGAGACCAGAUCAAUGGCCUAAUAAUGACUCUUUUACCUAGAGCCAGGACAUGUGCAGGAUGGUAACUCUCAUCCCUGAACCUUUCCACAGGUGUUAUUGUCACAUAUACCUUUUCCAGCUCCAAAGUGAUUUAAUAAUCCAGCCUAGUUAUAGCCCACAGAUAAUAUUUGGACAUAUACCUGAGUCAAGAACCUUGGUGAUUUGACUCUCAUGUCUUAACAGUGUCCUCAGAAGGGAUCAUAACAUAUCUCUGGACCCAUCAUCUAGGUUAUGUGACUCUCUUCUCCUGCCUGAACCCUGCUUCCAGUGAAGAGUGUUGCAUUUCUAAGCACUGCAUCCAAAUGACAUGAGUUUCUUGCCUGGGCCGUUUCAACAGAAGGCAUUGUGACAUAUCUCUAGGUCUAUCAUUUAGGUGAUAUGACUCUCCUCUCCUGCCUGGACACUCUCCACAAGGGGCAUUAUGCCAUAGAGCUAGAGCUAGCAACCAAGUUUUGUGAAUUUUCUGUUAGGGCCUUGCCUACAAAGAGAAUUUUGGAAUAUUUCUGGCUUAGAAUUUAAGUAAUGUGGUUGUUCUGCCUGUUCAGUAACCACAGAGGAGAAGGUGAAAUAUAUCUAGGCACCGCAAACAGGCAUGAUAAUGAGUCUUGUAUGUGGACCCAGCAAAUAGGAGAAAUUUUGACUCUUAUAACUAGGUUUAGGAACAUGAGUGAUGUCCAGGAUCUCCUUCUGGUAAGAAGGUCACAGAAGAUUGCAACACUCACAAUUAUUUUGUAACACCUUUGGGUUGUAUAGGGAGUGUCGUAACAGGGCCAAACACACAGAGGAAAUUGUGACAGUCAUAUGCACACCUACCUGACAGUAAAGACUUUCACAAUCACAAAUGGAUGAAGGCAACUGUCCUACAUGAAAACAGGACAUGUGUGGUAUUGUACAUCUAAAACCUAGAAUUUUAUUCCAUUGUGACUGUGAUAUAAAUCAAUGCCAAGCA
Long non-coding RNA from Homo sapiens (human), 2222 nucleotides. Ensembl annotates it as long intergenic non-protein coding RNA 293. The record is from Ensembl. Lineage: Eukaryota; Metazoa; Chordata; Mammalia; Primates; Hominidae.